AUUGAACGCUGGCGGCAGGCUUAACACAUGCAAGUCGAGCGGGGUGAUGGUGCUUGCACUAUCACUUAGCGGCGGACGGGUGAGUAAUGCUUAGGAAUCUGCCUAUUAGUGGGGGACAACAUCUCGAAAGGGAUGCUAAUACCGCAUACGUCCUACGGGAGAAAGCAGGGGAUCACUUGUGACCUUGCGUUAAUAGAUGAGCCUAAGUCGGAUUAGCUAGUUGGUGGGGUAAAGGCCUACCAAGGCGACGAUCUGUAGCGGGUCUGAGAGGAUGAUCCGCCACACUGGGACUGAGACACGGCCCAGACUCCUACGGGAGGCAGCAGUGGGGAAUAUUGGACAAUGGGGGGAACCCUGACCCAGCCAUGCCGCGUGUGUGAAGAAGGCCUUAUGGUUGUAAAGCACUUUAAGCGAGGAGGAGGCUCUUUUGGUUAAUACCCAAGAUGAGUGGACGUUACUCGCAGAAUAAGCACCGGCUAACUCUGUGCCAGCCGCCGCGGUAA
This 503-nucleotide ribosomal RNA is filed under the name uncultured bacterium. Its description in RNAcentral is "partial 16S ribosomal RNA". It matches the Rfam family "Bacterial small subunit ribosomal RNA", at positions 30 to 523 of the family's 1533-position model. The record is from RNAcentral.